UACAACAUAGUGUUAAUGUAAUGAAUCCCAUUAGAACUAUGUGGUUAAGCACGCUCAAGCUAGAGUAGUAAUGGGAUGAGUGAUCGCCCGGGAAGUUAUAGUGUUUUAC
Picea glauca (white spruce) is the source of this 109-nucleotide non-coding RNA. The record is from Rfam. Lineage: Eukaryota; Viridiplantae; Streptophyta; Pinopsida; Pinales; Pinaceae.